RNAcentral lists this long non-coding RNA (15684 nucleotides) under Triticum aestivum (bread wheat). Its description in RNAcentral is "long non-coding RNA (TAES_LNC011319)". The stretch from base 9493 to 9627 matches the Rfam family "MIR1120/MIR1122 microRNA precursor family". Lineage: Eukaryota; Viridiplantae; Streptophyta; Magnoliopsida; Poales; Poaceae. The record is from RNAcentral.
GGGGAUAUCUCUGCCCCUCCCCCUCUAUAGAUUGCGCCUAAAUACCUCUCGUCUUAGUUUUGCCGAUCGAUCGAUCUGGGUCUGAGCGCUCAGCCGCAGCCGCCUCGCUUAUUUUAUCUUCCUCCCCCCUUCCGUUCUCGGAAUCCGUCCUAGGGGAAACUCGUCCGCAAGUCAGUAAGUCAGUCAGUCAGUCCGUGUGAUGGUUAAUUUUGCUAUGAAUUGGUCUCUGGUACCCGUACCGUACUCUCAGUUGAUGUUUAAGGUCGUGAUGAUGAUGGAUUAUUGGUGAUUUUUGUGUGGUGAUGAUGAGGAGAUUGCAACAGAUCUCUGUUUUUUGGUUUCAUCGAAAAGUAAAAUGAUGCUGGUUGUUAUCAUCCUCUAUCCAUGAACGAUUGAAUUCUCUGUCAGAUUAGAUCUCUCCUGCAGUGGCAGGACUAUUAUCUCUCCCUGUCAUCCUGUUAUUAAUUGAUUAUGAUGAAGUACAGUUUGGAAGAUGAUUAACUAGUGAUUGUACUUUCAUCUUCUGAGGUUUUUGCGUGGGGAAAGUGAGGUUUUGUCUGGGUCGCGUAGUGGAGCGGAAAGUUUAUACUGGAUUUGCGAUCUACCCUUUUAAUCCGGGGGAAGCGUCAAUAUGGGGUAAGCAAUGGUGUCAGUUCCCCAACCAUGGGGUGUCAUGCCCUGUCUGGUGCUGUUUUGGAUCCACUUUCCUGUCAGUGUCUAGUGGUUGCGUUGUCUUUAAGCUAUCACUGUGUCUGGCUCUGCUCAUGAUUUUUUUGGCCCGUGCUGGUAUGGUCCAUAUACAUCUUCGUUUUUUGUGAUUUAUUUUUGGAUUGCUGUUGUGAUAGCUCUGUAACUAGCAAGGUUGACACUGAAUUUUCUGCUGUUAGACACUGAAUUUCAAUCCCCACUUGUGCAGUUAGUAUUUUUGGGACGGAGGGAGUACUAUAGUGUGCCUUUUGUGCUUAAUCACCAGAAUUAAUAGUCUGGGACGGCGUAGCAUUACUGUUGCGUCUGUGGGGGCGUCUAGAUGAGGAUAGGAUAGAACGUUCAUGUGCAGCACAGUUGGCCGAUGGGAUGGAAGGGAAAGACAGAGCACACUGGCGGGCUGCGGAGAGUUUAAUCCGGUAGCUGUGUACUAGUUUAAUUUUAUUGAUUUAUGUGUGGUACAUGGGCGUAGGCUAUUUUUACUGCAACGACCCGUGACCUGUGUGUCGGCCCCGCAGAGGCAUGUGCCGAAGGGUCGCCGUCAGGUGUCAAUCCGAUCAGGUGCGCGCUCGCGUGCUCCAGUUUUUACUGGCUGGUCAAUGCUGCUAGUCUGCCGGAGGGCACUGUGUCGCUUGCCUGUGUCAGUGUCCUCCGCCUGCCUUGUCUAUCCGAACCCUGUGCUCGCUCUGGCCGUCGUCCAGAUGGCGCGCCAGCGGCUCUCGGCCGUACGUUCGCGCGCAUGGGAGAGAGAAAGAGAACGACCCUGCUGCACAUGCUCUACCUGCCUGCCAUGCCCUCUCCUCCACCAGCGCGCCACGCCAAAAGAUAGGAGGAGAAGAUAAUCAUCAUAUCUAAAUAAACCCACGGUGGUAAUCAUUCUCGUGCUAAUCUUGGCUUAAAAGUUUGUCGUGUGGCCUCCCAGGUCCCAGUGCCAGCAAGAGAGAUCUGCUCUAGAAUGAUAUAAACACUGUUGGAGAAGCUCGCCUUUUUUGUUUUGUUUUCACUCUAAAUGAUUUAAAAGCUGUAGGGGAAGCUCGCCUUUUGUUUUGUUUUGUUUUCUUAUACGUGUUGCCUAGGCGAGACGUAGAUGCAGAUGAUGCGCGCCGUCCAAGGUGUGGACGGUGCGGGCGAUGGAUAGGUACCACGGCCAUUAUUUGUCUCGAUGAUAUGAUGCGUAGGGGUUGGGGCAUCGUAUCCUGUUGCGCGCUUUUCUAUUUUUCGAGCAUCUGUGCCGAUCGAGGGGCUAGAUUAUAUUCUCCCAUCCAACAAUCCCUGUAGAUGUGUUGAUUGAUCGGCAGCAAGAUAUUUGGGCCUCCGUUGAUGGCCGGUGCCGGUGAGCUACCGAGGGAAGUGGGUGGGAACGGACGGCGAGCGAGGAAACUCCUUGGGUGUCAGAUGACCGGGUUUCCUCUUGAUCAUGAGAUUUCAAAUUCCAAAUAGUAUUUCAAAAUUGUUGCACGUAGAGAAGUAUAGAUGUGUCUAUGGAGGUUUCUUGAUCUUGUGCGACAAGGGUUCCAUAUGACCAAUUGUCCAAGUUUAGCAAAAGAUUACAUUUCUAUGUUUGAAAUAUAAUGGAAAGGUAAUCUAGGUAGCAGGUGCAAGCUUAACUUACGUUUUGAUAAAAAAAUAUGUGCGGCCUUGUGCGAAAUCACAAAACGUACUUCUGCAACACAAGUUUAUGUGNNNNNNNNNNNNNNNNNNNNNNNNNNNNNNNNNNNNNNNNNNNNNNNNNNNNNNNNNNNNNNNNNNNNNNNNNNNNNNNNNNNNNNNNNNNNNNNNNNNNNNNNNNNNNNNNNNNNNNNNNNNNNNNNNNNNNNNNNNNNNNNNNNNNNNNNNNNNNNNNNNNNNNNNNNNNNNNNNNNNNNNNNNNNNNNNNNNNNNNNNNNNNNNNNNNNNNNNNNNNNNNNNNNNNNNNNNNNNNNNNNNNNNNNNNNNNNNNNNNNNNNNNNNNNNNNNNNNNNNNNNNNNNNNNNNNNNNNNNNNNNGGGCGACCCGGGGGUGACUAGGGUUUCCCCCAGGCGCCGCCACCCCUCCCCCCAGCCUCUCCUCCCCUUGCCGCCACCUGAGGGACGCCAGGCAAGCCAUGGCGGCUACCGAUGAAGGUGGCGGCGAGGCCUCUUGUCGCUUCGCUCACCUCGCGAAGGACCCCAGACUCCAGGACGGCGAGGCAGUGCUGCCUCCGCGGCAGGCGACACGCGCGGGAUGUGGUGGCCAGCCUCCUCGGCUGCUCAGGGAGCGCGGAGCCGGCGGGUGGUGGUCGUGGCGCGGUCUUCUUCCGCUCUAGAUCUGAAGGUCGGGUUCUCCUCCUCUGCUCACUCCUCCCCUCCCGCUGUGUCCGCCCGGCAGCUUUGGCUGCAAGGCCCGGUGCUGGCGGGGUGCUGGUGGCAUAGAUCGAGUCCGGGGGAAACCCUUGGCCGGUUCUCCGACCACGGCGGUGACGACGCGUGCAUCACCUUUCUUCUUCGAGGCGCCGCUGAGGACUCCUCUAUCCAUCCCCGUCCCAGAUCCCGGGUGAAAGCCCAAACUCGUCUCGGGUUGGGCGGCGGCGGCGCCCUGCGCGCUAUUCCCUCCUUGGAGGCGCCGCCUUGGGGUAUCUGGUUCUCCGGGGGAGUGGCCUCGAGGUAGGAGAGUGCCCGGCGGCUGCGUGUCCACAGCGGCUUGCCGCCCCGGGUCUUUGCAGCUUGCUUCUUCGACCACCCUCAGUGGCUUUCCCUCGCUGUUCUCUGGUGGCCAAGGAAGAUGGUAGUGUAGCUUGUGGGUGUGCCUACAGCGCGGUGAGGACCGUGAGCUAUGCCUACUUUGGGUUUCGGCCGACGCCUGCUCUAGCUCUCGGGUGAGCGCCCAACAAUCCGACGGUCCGGCGCCUUCGAGCCUAGCGAGAGGAAAGGGUUCUUCUUCGGCGUUGGAAGACAGGUGUUCGUGAUCCCAAUCCCUUGAUACGGUUGCUCUCGGUGCUUGCGAGCCAAAGUCUGAUCCUCGAGGCUACUCUGUUCCACGUUCUUGGUGCCGAUGUGCAGCGGGCUCCCACAUUACUUGCAGGUUUUCAUGGAUCUUCUUUGUGUGCAGUAGUGUGCGUUGUGUUAUUAGCUGCUUAUCAGCUCCCUUGUAUCUUUUGGUCGCUCAUGCUUGGUGGCUUUGUGUAAUCCUGGCCGGUUGAUGGCUUUGUUAAUUCAAAGCCGGGAACUUGGAGCCUUCAUUCUAAAAAAAUAGUUUAUGUGACUUGUACGGACAAGCUUGUCACAUAUGAUUAUUCCUUUUUAGAACAAGUCAAUAUUCCAUUUUUUAAAGGUAGGGAUUGCUCAAGGCAUGAUUACAUAUUCCAUGGUUUUCGAGACUUCAAAUUAUGAUUUUCGUGAUUACAAAAACACGUUUACCAGCCCUUUGGUCAUGAGCUGGGUUGGAGACGAAUCUAUAUUCUUAGAAGUAAAGAAAGAACUUUGACAUCCCAAACCUUGGAUUUUGUCUCAAAGAAUGAAUAAAAUCACUUUAUGAUAAGCCUCCUAGAUUGGAAGUGAGACGUUCCUCAUUCACGGUAUUUUUUUUGCUUGAUUUGGUUGCUACUUAUGAGCGUACACUAAAAGAUGCACACAAGGAUUCACAGACCAAAAGAAAACUGUUAAGAUUAAUUAAAUACUUAAUUAAGGGACAAUCCCUGCCUGUAUUAACCGCCAACGGAUGCUAUUUCGGCAACCGUCGCGCCGGUUCACAUACAGACGCCUCUCCAACGAGACGUCCUCCGUGUACCUAUAUAUGUAGAAUCAUCAAUGAAAGAGGAUAGUUCCAUUCAUUCGCUUUGGUUCUCAAUACGUUAUCAGCACCAAAGCAAAUGAAUGGAACUAACCUCAAUUGUGGGAACAUAAACACAUGGGCAGUAGAUCAUACAGAUCUCACAGUAAUAGAGAUAGUCUACACAUGGGCAGUAGAUCGAACUCAUCACCUUGUGUUUUCCUAAUAUAAUGAAGGAGAUGUUAUUGUCAAAAUUUUACAAGUUUGUUGUGGGGGAGAAAUCAAUCACGACCGCUGUGACAUGUUCAUAAAGAAUGUCAAUGUGAUAAACACAUACUCCCUCUGUAGCAUAUGUUGCACCCAAGAUAGUUUUCCAAAAUGUCUUGUACAUGAAAAACUUGGCAUACUCAUCUUGGUCAUCGAGACAUUGGGUUGAAACCGAAACUAUCAGCAAUUCCAAUAGUUUAUCAUUAUUAGAUGCUAAAUUCUAACACCAUUUGGAUUUUAUGUGCACUACAAGUGACACAGGGAAGCUAAUUUUAAGGCUCGCACACUUUAAAGUCUACGCUGAACCACUCAGACUCCUUGAAUGCAUCAAGUUGAGGUAAGUGGCUCUUCCCAUCCGUUGACUAGACUAUUCUGGUAUUCCAUGGUUCUAAAAGACAUAUCUACAUGAUGAUCUUAAGUGUGUGCUUUAUUCACACGAAACCAUUGGCUCAUUAUCCUGACAUCGAUUUCAAGCAAAUCGAAUGGAUAACAUUGCAGAAUUCUCCUUGAGUGCCUUCUUUUAUGGCCCUUGGAUUGAAGUUUAGCAAUUUGUCCUAAUGUCUAGACUCAAAAUGGUUUGGUAGAAUCCUUUAUCCAAAGAGUUAAGCUCAUUGCAUUAUCUUUACUUUGGAAUUGCAAUUUACCAACUUUACGUUGGAGUCAUACAGUUUUACACGCUCAUGACCAAACUGCAUACUAUUAUUCCCCUCUAUCUUUGAUACGUGGAAAUCUACCAAGUAUUUCCCAUCUGCGGUAUUUCGGUUGCAUACCGAUAUCACCACCCCAACAUACAUCAUUGGCCCCUCAACAUAUAGUUGGGAUCCAUGUGAGGAAUAACUGUAUUUUCGUCAAUACCUCAAGCCCCUCGCAUGGGGAGUUAUUUAGGCCAGUAUGUUGAUUCAAUGAGGAACAUUUUCAGGCAUCAGGGGGAGAUUUCAAGUACCAUAAAGAAUGCCAGGAAAUUAGUGGAAUGUUCAACACAUUUCUGCCUCAAAUCCACGUACUCAAAGAUCUGAACCAUGCGUUCAGAAGAUUUGCAACACAAUGCAAAUAACCUGCCAGAUUCAUUUACUGACUAUAAAGAUGUCAUACAAUCCUACAAUCCUAAAAAAUAUGCCGGAAAGAGUGGAGGUACCAACUAAAACCACUCAACUUCCCGUUCAAAGCAACAGGGGGAGAAGUACGACAAUAGCACAUCGGGAUUCAGCUUCUCGCAAGCAAGGAUAUCAAGGCUUGUGAAUCAGUAAAUGCAAGUCAACUUCAUGUUGACAGACACCUGAUGGGUAGUAUACACCCAGUGAACGGGAAACCUCCAUCAACCCAGGUCAUAGUGCACAAAAUGACUGGGACAUCGGAAUACCCGACUCAAUCGCAUUGGGAAAUCGCGAGCAGUCACUAUGGGUAACGAUAUCUCCAUCAACUAUAUAUUGAUAUAUAGAUUCUAGAGAAACAUAUAACCAGAAGUCUACAAUUGUCGACAUACAUUCCUCAACUAGAUUGAAAAAACCUUUCAAGUGAUUCAGAUCCAAAGACCAUGGCCGUGGCAAAGUGUGAACAACACUCGGACUGAACUCAAGCAAAGGGUAUAAUCUAGGUACAAAUGAUCUUGCUCAAUAAUGGAAAGGUAUUCAUAAGCAAUACCUACAUCAGUUUUCUUCUGGAAGCAGAAUUGAUAACAACGAGGUGGUGAAAUAAAGAGCAAGUAUUGUAGCACAAGGGUUUACGCAGAUAUCUAACUAUUCCCCAGAGGUGGAAUCUCUUUCCGAUAACUUAUAUCAUUGGCAGUACAAAAUCAUCUAUCUAUGCAGUUGAUAGAUGUAGUGCUCACAUAUCCAUGUGGAUCACUAGAUUCAUACACAUAUGAUUGAUUCCCGGUGGAAUCUCUCUUCUGAAUCGAAAUGCAAUACGCAACAUACAUUGUGUAAAAACAAUAAGUCACCAUAAGACUUAUUGUUGUCGGUACAUAUGGUACAACCGACGUAGUGAGUUACUUAUACACAAGGAUUACUCCUACAGUGAUGAUUAUCCAUGUUUGUGUCUCUGCAAUGAUGACACAUGUAAUCAUCUAAAUGACGGAGUUUAAAUGAAGGAUUUGUGUAAACCAAAAUAUCGCUCGUUACUACGACUUGAGCACCUUCAUUCAUACAUUAUGGUAUACUAUGUUGUCUAUAUCCAUAAUACAUUGGAGAAAUUCAUUAUGGACAAAUCUUAUCCAUCUAUAACUCUCAUGGUAGUUCAUUCUCUAGACGUAGAGAAAGAUCUAUUUAGACCAAGAGAUGAUGGAAAUGAGAUAUUGGGACUUAACGUUCCGUAAUGCCAUUGGAUCCACCAAACACAAUUGGUUGGUACUCAAGAAUAUCUUUCGAUAUCUCCAAGGCAUGAAACAUCUUGUCCUCGUUUUUUAGUUUCGGAGAAAUCUGAACACCAAUAUCAUUGGAUACAUCGAUCAUCCCCACUAUAUCAAAUCAUAGACAAGUUUAGUGUUCCUACUAGGUGUGGUAGCCCUCUCAUGAAGAGUCUUUAAAACAGACCUCAUGGCUAUUCACCAACCAUUAUCUCAACGAUAAUGUUUUUUGUGUUGCCCGGAUGCAAACAGGUUACAUAAUAAGCAAUAUCACUAUAUUGCAUAUCUUGCAAGUCAAAUCAUGACUGAUUUGGGUCUCUACCAACUUCUAUGUUUUGGUAUGUGACGGCUUCGAAUUUUGCAAGAAUCAGGGGGAGUAUCUUCCUGAAUUAUUCCUGUUGAAUGCAUCAUAUUAUACUCGUUUUCCCUUUAUGAGUUUACUUUUCAGGUUCUCAUAAAGGUUUUUGAUGAGGUAAUAUCAACAUGAGAUCAUGUGUCAUAUUUUCUGUUUUUCCCACCGGGGUUUUUAGGGAAGUAUAUACGAUAUAUUUAUUGUCCUCUAAACUCUAUGGGGUUUCUCGUAUUGAGUUGAAAGAGACAAUAACCAUUAUAUGUUGCACCAUUUUCUCCUUAUUUUUCCCACUGGGUUUGAAGCAGUUUUAGCAACAUAUUCUACACCACUCCUCAUAUUUUUCCCACAGGGUUUUUGGAGGAGACUCUUUCAAGAUGAUGAUGCUACCUGGACAAGCAUGGAUUAGGGGGAGUGUUAAAAUUAAUUAAAUACUUAAUUAAGGGAUAAUCCCUGCUUGUAUUAACCGCCGACGGAUGAUAUUUCGGCAACCGUCGCGCCGGUUCACAUACAGACGCCUCUCCAACGAGGCGUCCUCCGUGUACCUAUAUAUGUAGAAUCAUCAAUGAAAGAGGGUAGUUCCAUUCAUUUGCUUUGGUUCUCAAUAGAAACCCGUAAUACCCAGAUUCUGAAAAUCCCCCAUCCGAACGGUUGGAUGCAAAGGAGCAGAUAAGUCACAUAUAUAUGGCUAAAUAUCGAAUCCUAGCUAAGGAUGUUACUUGUAUGAGUAAUAAAGUCUUGCAAUCUUCAAUUCUCCAAACAAGUAACUUCUUGCAAUCUUUGCAUAACUUGGUCCAAACAAGUCCUGACGGGCAAACAACUUUUUCACCUCUCCAAUUCUCCACAAGCACUGGUGCCAUGUCAUAGCUGCUUCAGAUCACUACUUGGCUAUAUAAAAGCAGCGGCUCCUAUAAAUUGGCGGCUGGGACAUAUAUAUGCGUAGGCAAAAGGCAGAAAAUUGAACAGUAAAUCAAUGACAUCCAACGGAUCGAACACCUCUUGGCACAGUAGACACAAUAAUCAGGUCACUAAAUACAGUAUGAACCAGAAGUGCAACAAAAAUCACAGGAUACGAUAAUACCAAGUCUAGCUACAUGGUCUAGGGUUCAUAACGUGUAUAUUGUGGAUUCUACCCCUCUUCCUCUCAGGGUAGAACUUGGCAUAAGAAGCAAAAAAUGAAAUGGACGGAAACGUUGUGGUAGCAUAUGUGUUUUCAGCCUUGCAUUUCUGAAUAUUCAAAGACAUGAUAUAUCCACCAAUGAUCCACAUCUUCUCACCCUACUCGAAAAUGAAUCCUGUACAGAAAUGAAAAGCCAACGUAAGAGUCUGGUGUAUUAUCAGAAGUAAAAAAAAGGUUCAGUUACUUGACAAUGAAAAUCAAGACACCGAGACAUGGUUGGGUAAGUAUGAAGGAGAUUCGCUUUACCAUGUGCAACUUACCUUGACAUUAAUUUGGGGACAAACUUCCAUUAUAUCUCAUACAGGUAUUUCUAGCUGACAAUCUAAUGUGAAAAACAUCUAGCAAAACUGCUUCCAAAUGAAAAUGCCGAAAAAUGUCAAAAAUUCAUGGCAAAGGAAAUGUGAAAUAAGCAAUCAUUACAUACACUGCUAGAAAUGUUAUGUGUAUAGACUUAUAUUUUUGAAGAAAUUUUAUGUGAACUGUAAGUCUUCCUGGUACAGAAAUGGCAAAUAAUUUAGUGCUGAAUCACAAGGAAACCGAGCACCGAAUAGUUUAUCCCAUAAGAACAAGCAGCUGCUCAGGUCUAGGGAGCCACAAAAAUUGUUACCGAUUAGCACAAACUAUGUAUUAUUCAACAACACAAUAAAUGAAGGUACGCUUGAACUUACAUUUGAGCUUGAUCAGAGCCAAUCAAAAUGUGAAGGUACUGUAUCACUACUCUGAAUAAUCUAUUCAGAAAUUUGUGCUAGUGCCUACAAGACCAGAACUAAUCAGCAAGCCCACAAGUUGCGUCUUUCUGUUUCUUUCUGCAACACAGUUAAAAAUAAACAUCCUCUGCCAACAAAAGGGUUGUUUUUCCUUUUGCGCUCAGAUUUCCAUGCCUCAAACAAUCUGCAAUCCUUACAAAACUGUUCUUUCUACAUACUACUCCCUCCGUUCCAAAUUAAUUGACCUCCAUUUGUCUAGACAUGGAUGUAUCUAGAAAGUAAACAAGUAUAGAUACAUUCGUAUCUAGACAAAUGAAAGUCAAGUAAUUUGAAACGGAGGGAGUAAUUCACAAGUUUGUACUUCACUAUUUGCUUUGUUAGUUUCCGUUCCCACAUAUGGUUAAAACAAAGUUUCCUUCCCACACACAAAAAUUAAUUUUGGAAUAUAGCUAGAGAGCAUGGAAAGUGUCAUUAGUUUGCUCACGUAUGUUAAGUGCAGCACACAGUAACUUGAUAACUUCAUAAAUCCUCUCCUCGACCACGUCACACUUGACUUCAACUAUGUUAAGGUGCCGUGAUAUUGCAGAUGGUCUCUCCAUUGAUUUGUAGCUUCCUUUCAAAUGCAGUUUAUUAUUUUGUCCCUACGGUAAGAAAAACAAACUUUUAAACCAAGAUGGAUGACUGAUAAUAACUAUACUAGUGCAGCAACUGCCAUUUAAAAGUUCUAUACCAUCAAAAACAGUUGAAGAGUUAGUUUCUCUAGAACUGGUGAGUUUUUCAGAAUGCAAAGCAGUGGAUCCAAACCAGGAGCCUCGCACCAGUACUCGUUGAGUAGUAAACUCUUUAGCUUGUUGAAUGUAGGGCAGUGUUUCAAAUCUCUUGCGAAAAUGAACUGGAAAGAAAAUACAAAAGUAAGUAAAUCAAGUAAACCUUACUGAAAAUGCAAGAUGAUGAUCUAAUGCCAUACCUUUCUAGGUAGAGAUCUCAGCUCAAGAUGUGUAGCACUUGAGAUACCACCCAGAAGCACAGCAUCGCCGCUGCCAUCAUCCUUAAUGGGAACACAAUUGUUACAUGCUUUAUCAUUAGCUCCACAGAAAUGACCAGAGUCGUCGUAAUUCAAACAUACAUCCGCGCAGUUAAGGCCAAGAUAAACACGCGCCGUCUCUAGCGACGCCAUGCUCUCAAGGCAAGGCGUUUUAGUGUCCGACGAUCCGACUAGUUUCAGGAUCAGAGAGACGAGGCCCGGAGCAGAAACGAUCACCCGGCGACCCAAGCCGAAGUGGCAGCCGGUGAUGCUCAGAUGCCUCAGGGAACACGACGAUAUCCUGCCGACGCUGACGCUGCAGAGGUUCAUCUUCAGACCCUCCAACGCUGGGCAGCCAGCGAAAUCAAUAAAGCUCUUUGGUAGGUCUACAUCGUGAAGGUCCAGCGUUCUGAGAUGCCGAGAGACGAGAGGCAGGUCGUCCAGGUAGAGGCGUAGAGGGCCGCUCACAUGGAGGGUGAGCGCCCGGGCACUGCACAUCACGGCGAAGCGGGUCCAGAGGUUCACGUGAGUCUGGUCUUCUUCCACGAAUACCCCGAGCUUGAUCUCGACAGUGUCUAGAUCGGUGCGCUCACGCAGGACGAGCAGGUGGUGCAUGAAGUUCCGGAGGUGCUUCUUGUCAUCGAGCCCGACGAUGCGCAGGCCGGUGGUGGACCUCCAGAGGUGGCGCCAGCGCCGGGCGAGCACGCACGUCCGCACGGCCGCCUGAACCGGGAGGAAGGAGAGCACGUGGUGGAGCAUGCUGUCGGGGAGGGCGCUGAUGUGGUCCGGGGCGCUCACCACCGUCAGCGCCGGCGCGCUCUUGCGCUUCUUCCUAGGAGGCAUUACGUCGCCGGCGCCGCGAGGCAGACGACGCGAGGGAUGGGAGAUGGGGCAGAUGGACGGAGUUUACUCGUGAGGACUUAAGUCAGACUCCGCUCUUUAAAAGCCGACGAUAGGAAUUGGAGAUCUUUAAUUGAAGCGUGAAAACUGCUUGCCAGGAUAUCCCAUAUUUUUCAUAUUUUUUUUAGGGUAUGUUGUGAUUUCAUUCCAACAAACAGAUACAGUAUAAUGAUGUCAACAAGAAAACAGAUACAGUAUUUUUUUGUAGAGUAUUGCAACAUGCUUUAUUAUUUAGAAAAAAACAUGCUUUAUUAUUAUUAGCAAAAAUGCACGUGCGUUGUAGCGGGAGAAAAAAAACAUCUAGCCCUAACCCAAUAGCCAUAGCAAAGUGCCCAUACAACUUGUGUAUAUGUCACUAUUCAACAUGCAUGCUUAAAUACCUACUCCCUCCGUCCGAAAAUACUUGUCAUUAAAAUGAAUAAAAGGGGAUGUAUCUAGACAUAUUUUAGUUAUAGAUACAUCCCUUUUUAUCCCUUUGUUGGAGUUGUGUCGAAUAUAGUGUACAAGGUAGGUUACAGUUGGACUUGUAGUUGUAUCGUGUUUACAUAGGAUGUGGAGUCGUGUCCUAGUAGGACACUUGUAUCCUAGGCCUCUCUUAUAUAGCGGGGGUAGACACACGAUGUAACCUAUCCCAAUAUAAUAGCACCGGAAUGCAGGGGAAGCCGGCGGCAUGUGCCGGUGUCCAGGGCGACCAGGUGCGGUAUUGUGACGGUGUCACGGGGAGGAGCGCCCGUAGUCAGGCCCCGGGGAUGUAGCCAUAUCGGUGAACCUCGUUAACAAAUCUCGGUGUCGUGCUUGUGUGAUUGCUUGAUCCUCGGAUGAUUGACGGUAUGCCUCGGAUUUAUUCUAAUAAGUGGUAUCAUAAGCAAGGUUGAAAAGGUCCGGGAGGCGGUGGAGUUGAUUAAUGAAGGAGGUUUUGAAGAGAUCGUGGCUGCGGAAACUGGUCGAUGGCCUAGUCGGCGGAAUAUUGUCUGAUGCGAUCGCGUGGGACAGGACAGGAGGAAGCAGCAAGACGAUCUGGUCUAAAACGGGAGCGAUCUGUUUGCAUGGAGGACUAUCGGCGAUUUGGGCAAGGCGUAGUGUGCACAGGCGGUGAGCCGGAUCGAAUUGUCUCAGCGGUGGCGACGCGUAUCGACGUGGACGACUGACCGGAUUCGAUCCGAAGCGCGUAAGGCACCGGUGCUGGAAGCCUAGGUCGGGACAGGUCCAUGAGGCAGCGCAGGGCGUGGCCACGCACAGUCGCGGCUGGCUCAAGGAGCCGUGAUGAAGCCACAUGCAUGCGUACAGCUAGCAAGCCGGGGAUUUGUUUUGAAAAAAAAAGUGGAGACCGAGUCUCCAUAGUACUGACACGGACAGGCAGGCAAAUCAGUCUAGGAUAAGGAAAACAUCCGUCAAGCGAUAUGUAUCUAUCAGGAGCACUACUUGCGUAGGCAUCAGCAAGGCAAAAGCAAUUAGCUUAGCAUCAGGAGUUAAAGCCAAGACAGGAGCUGCUCACGUGAAGACCAAGUUGAUUGGAAUUGCUAUUAGUACGCGGAGGCUGUUCGUGUGCUUGGGGCAUCAUGUGGAAAGCUUGGAUAAUUUUUCGUAGGAUCAGCCGUACAAAGAACCAUGACGCCAACGGGUACCAAGUUUGAGGUGAAGAAGUUCACGAAACUGAAAACCUUGGGUUAUGGCAGACAAGGGUGAAAGAUUUGUUGGCACAAAAGGGAUGCUUGAGGGCGUUGCGGGAAGUCUUGUUAGCUAAGAUGGAAUUAUGUCUGAUGGAUGAAAAUUUCGUGGAAGACGAUUUGGGAGCCUUGAGUGUGUCAUACAGUCGAACGAGUUCGGCUGGGUCAGACUGGGCAGUCUGACGGGAUCGACGCAGGUCGGUUGAUACAGAAGACGGUGGUGGGAUCGGCGACGACGACAUAGGAGCGUGAUGCCGAUGGUGACCGACUUCUGGGCGUGGAAACAGGUGGCACAAGCCCGAGGCUUGUGUGGCUUCGACAAGACUAUGGCGCGGGAUUGAUUCAAGGUGGUGUAUACACGGAGCUUGAAGUCGAUGAGGCGCGUGGGUGGACUGAUCAUCUACCAUGGAGUCAUGUUGAAGGUGGAGCUGGAUUGAGGGCUACGGCGUAAGUCGACAGAGAGUCGAAGCCUAUUCAGCAGGAAAAGCGAGUGACACGCAAUUCGGGCUGGAGCCCAGUGGUCUGAUGGAAGCGUGAAACUCGUCAUCGGUCGGUGAUGAUCGGUGGUACUCUGCAGUGGGGGUUGAGUGGUGUGGUUUCGCGACCCUUGAGACUCGACCAGGACAGCGGAGGCUCGACGCGGUAAUAGCGGCGAGGUGUGCGGUACGCACGAGGCAUGGAGACGGGCCAGGGCUCUGGUGGUCAUACAUGUGGUGAGACAACUGCGAAUUUGACUCGGGAUGACUACAAGCAACGGUGAAAUUCUUUCAAGUUUCAGACAGACGGUCAAGAAAGGAGCGGUGGUGUUGAGUUCAGGUAACUCUUAUGUGUGACACCCAAUAUGUGAGUUGUUCACUUUCACGCAGGUCAGCGAUCAGUGUGUGAUGGCGUUGGACUGAUGCUCUGGAAGUUGGGAGCGCAAACAAGAGUAAUGCGGAACUUAAUUUUGCUCGAGUGUUGACUGUGGUCAAGAAUAGAAGGGACUACAAGUUGCAGGUGGAGUCAUAUGGAGUCUUUGAAGUAGCAGCGGUGCUCAUGGGAUAAACUCAAGUCCAAUGUACAUGGAAGUUUGACGCAUGGACGAACUCAAGGUGGUGGAGAAUAUUCGUCAAGGUGGAGUUUGUUGGAGUUGUGUCGAAUAUAGUGUACAAGGUAGGUUACAGUUGGACUUGUAGUUGUAUCGUGUUUACAUAGGAUGUGGAGUCGUGUCCUAGUAGGACACUUGUAUCCUAGGCCUCUCUUAUAUAGCGGGGGUAGACACACGAUGUAACCUAUGCCAACAUAAUAGCACCGGAACGCAGGGGAAGCCGGCGGCAUGUGCCGGUGUCCAGGGCGAUCAGGUGCGGUAUUAUGAUGGUGUCACGGGGAGGAGCGCCCGUAGUCAGGCCCCGGAGAUAUAGCCAUAUCGAUGAACCUCGUUAACAAAUCUUGGUGUCGUACUUGUGUGAUUGCUUGAUCCUUGAAUGAUUGACGAUAUGCCUCGAAUUUAUUCUAACAAUUUUGAUGACAAGUAGUUUCGAACGGAGGGAGUACGUAAGCAGAACACGGAUCAUGAAAUGAAAUGAUAAGAACAUCCUGCCAAAGCUUCCUUGUGUGCUUGUGUGAAAUCUGAAGUCAUAAGAAAAAAAUAACUCAUCCGUUUAUGGUUUUGCAAGCCAAAAGGCAACAUCCGCCGCUUAUUUGUCAGGAAGGCACAAUGUCAAACAACGGCGGCAGUGGCAAUUUCUAUUUGGCGCUGCAGGCGCCGGUUUAUACUGUUUUUGCUAACCGGCGCCUGUAGCAGCUGUGAUAAGAUACACGUUUUAUAUCCAUUUCUUCUUUCCUCUUUGUCUUUUUUUCUCUAUCCUUUUCCAAAUUUGUAAUAAUAAAUUUUUUGAAACUCGUGUUUCAAAAUCCAUGAACUGAUUUUUUUGAAACUCAUGAACCUAUUUCAAAAUUGAUGAACUUUAUUUUUCAAAUUUGUUGAACAUUUUUUAUUUUUUUGAACUUUUUCUCAAAAUCGAUGAACUUUUUUUCAAAAUCGAUGAACUUUUUCUCAAAAUUGAUAAACUUCUUCCAAAUCUGAUGAACUUUUUUCAAAUCGAUGAACUUUUCUCCAAAUUAGAUGAACUUUUUUAUUCAAAUCGAUGAACUGCUUUCAUUGUUCGAUGAACUUUUUUUAAAAAACGAUGAACUUCUUUUGAGUUUGUGAACUUUAUUUUGAAUACAUGAAUGUUUUCGUUUUUUGUGAACUAUUUUUUAAACACGCGGACUUUUUUUGGAUGAUCAUGAACUUCAUUUAUAAUAUGCGCACAUGUUUUCAAAUAAAUGAAAAAUCUAAACUCUACAGCAUAAUGCGAAAUUAAUAGUGCGUCUACGUUUCUCUUCUUAAGAAUACUCGCGCCGUCAAGAACCAUUGGCAUUUAGCUGGUGGAGUGUUUAGCAUCGCUGUUUCUAAGUGCGAGGGUGUGAGAUCGAUCCCGAUCGAGUGCUGUUUUUUCAGCCAACUUUUUUCGCACUGCAAGAUUUGUGGGCCCGGAGCGCUCCUUCGGGAUCCUCGCAACGAUCAUCGCGCUCUCAGCCAUUCGUCCACAUGUCGCGCUCUGGGCGCUCCCUCCGAAUUUUAUUUUUUAUUUUUUCGCACAUGUUUUCGUCUUUUUAAACGGGUUUUGGGUUUUUUUUAACGUUUUGGUUUUUCACCGGUCUUCCCUAGCUUUUCGACAUUUUUUUUUAAAAAAAAUAUUUUUUUUGCGCAAAAAAACACAUUUUUUUCGUGAGAGUCACAGUUUUGUUUUCACGAGAGGCACGGUCGUGCCUCUUGGAAACGAAAAAAAAA